Molecule: long non-coding RNA, 1134 nt
Filed under: Capra hircus (goat)
Lineage: Eukaryota; Metazoa; Chordata; Mammalia; Artiodactyla; Bovidae
Description: lncRNA (ENSCHIG00010009122.1)
Source: RNAcentral
CCUGCAGCUCAGAAACCCCUCCACUCCCCCACAGGGACAGAGAGCUACUACAGCCAGCCCUGCCCGGUGGGGCACUACUGUCCUGCCAGGACCCCCACCCCCAGGCCCUGCCCACCUGGAACCUUCCGGAACAGCAGCCAGGCAGGCAGAGUGGGAGAGUGCCUGCCCUGCCCCACAGGCACCUUCAGCUCCCAGCCAGGCCAGGCAGGCUGCCUGCCCUGCGGGAGUUCUGCCUUCUCUCCACCAGGUGCCUCCCACUGCACGUGUCGGGGCCUGAACAGGGUCUUUCAGAAGUCGGACGGCUCCUGCAUCUGCCAGGCGGGAUAUAAGUCCUAUGACGAUGAUGAGAGCAGCAGUGAAGAGGAUUGUCAGCCCCAGGUCGUGGAGCGCUGCCCACCUGGGGAAGUCCUCUUGGCUGCCACCCGUACCUGUGUGUCCCCCCGGCAGCACAACUGCUCUUCCUUCUGUCACCCGGCGGGAGGCCAGCUCAACACGAAGCUGGGCAUCUGCCAGUGCCGAGAAUACAUCUCCGCAGAGGAGCUCUGUGACGCCCAGUGUCUGGCCAGGGCUGCCCGGCUCUCCCUGGCCUGGGGGCCCAGCAGGAAGCUGAUCCUCAGCAUGAAGGAUGAGGCUGCAGGCAGCAUCCAGAGGGUCCACCUGUGUCCAGCUCAAGGCAGCAGAGGCAACCUUGGACCCCAGGCCCGGGGCACCGUGCCCCACAGGAUCCCAGCAUCCACCCCCACAUUCCAAACCCAGUGGUCUGCCUGGCAGCAGGGGACGUGGUUCUUUUCCAGCUUCACAUUCUUCCCUACAGUGAGUCCUGCCCUGACUCUUUCACCAUUCCCCGCCCAGGUGUCCAGUGACCUCACAUACCCAGAUUCGCAGCAGCAAGUCACAGGCCAGGGCUGCACCCUUGCUCUUGACCUGACCAGUCAUUUCACUGGGGCCUGGAUUCCAUAUCUCGGACCUGCUGUUCCAGCUCCGAGUGGGGUUGCCAGACCUCUGCACCUUGGGAGGAGAGGGGGUCUCACCAAGGUGACCUCUGACCUGUGCUCCAGCCCGCCUGCAGGGCUGCCCUGUGCCGGGGUCAGACCCUAUGCCUACUCAGUAGCCUGUCCAUCUUGGAUGCCUUGA